AGCGAACGCUGGCGGCAUGCCUAACACAUGCAAGUCGCGCGGCCGGCAACGGCAGCGGCGGACGGGUGCGCAACGCGUAGGAACGUGUCCACGGGUGGGGGACAACCCCGGGAAACUGGGGCUAAUACCGCAUAUGGCCUGAGGGCCAAAGCCGUAAGGCGCCUGUGGAGCGGCCUGCGUCCGAUUAGCUUGUUGGUGGGGUAACGGCCUACCAAGGCGGCGAUCGGUAGCUGGUCUGAGAGGACGACCAGCCACACUGGGACUGAGACACGGCCCAGACUCCUACGGGAGGCAGCAGUGGGGAAUAUUGGACAAUGGGCGAAAGCCUGAUCCAGCAAUGCCGCGUGGGUGAAGAAGGUCUUCGGAUUGUAAAGCCCUUUCGGCGGGGACGAUGAUGACGGUACCCGCAGAAGAAGCCCCGGCUAACUUCGUGCCAGCCGCCGCAGUAAAA
RNAcentral lists this ribosomal RNA (451 nucleotides) under uncultured bacterium. RNAcentral describes it as "bacterial SSU rRNA". It matches the Rfam family "Bacterial small subunit ribosomal RNA", at positions 30 to 525 of the family's 1533-position model. The record is from RNAcentral.